RNAcentral lists this ribosomal RNA (122 nucleotides) under Methylomonas albis. Lineage: Bacteria; Pseudomonadati; Pseudomonadota; Gammaproteobacteria; Methylococcales; Methylococcaceae. The record is from RNAcentral.
UUGCUUGGUGAACAUAGCGAGCGUGAACCACCCGAUCCCAUCCCGAACUCGGAAGUGAAACCGCUUAGCGCCGAUGAUAGUGUGGCAGGUUGCCAUGUGAAAGUAGGUCAUCGCCAAGCUCU